GCACGGGUGAGUAACACGUGACUAACCUACCCUGGAGUGGGGGAUAACUGAGGGAAACCUUAGCUAAUACCGAUAACACCUACGGGUCAAAGGAGCAAUUCGCUUUAGGAGGGGGUCGCGGAGAUUAGCUAGUUGGCGGGGUAAUGGCCCACCAAGGCAGUGAUCUGUAUCCGGCCUGAGAGGGCGCACGGACACACUGGAACUGAAACACGGUCCAGACUCCUACGGGAGGCAGCAGUGGGGAAUUUUGCGCAAUGGGGGAAACCCUGACGCAGCAACGCCGCGUGGAGGAUGAAAUCCCUUGGGAUGUAAACUCCUUUCGAUCGGGACGAUAAUGACGGUACCGGAAGAAGAAGCCCCGGCUAACUUCGUGCCAGCAGCCGCGGUAAUACGAGGGGGGCAAGCGUUGUUCGGAAUUAUUGGGCGUAAAGGGAGCGUAGGCGGUUUUGUAAGUCGUGUGUGAAAUCUUCGGGCUCAACCCGAAGUCUGCACACGAAACUGCAGGGCUUGAGUAUGGGAGAGGUGAGUGGAAUUCCUGGUGUAGCGGUGAAAUGCGUAGAUAUCAGGAGGAACACCUGUG
This 580-nucleotide ribosomal RNA is filed under the name uncultured bacterium. RNAcentral describes it as "bacterial SSU rRNA". It matches the Rfam family "Bacterial small subunit ribosomal RNA", at positions 100 to 714 of the family's 1533-position model. The record is from RNAcentral.